AUCUAAUAAAUUUGUUUUUUGAUUUAACAUCAUUCGCAUCUGACACCAGACUGGUGAAUUUGAUUUUAUCAAUUUUCUAUAGCGCUACCUGAUUAUCUCUCAGAAGUAUAUAAUGUUAAGAAAUUUCGGACAGCGCAUAUUUCGGAUAAACUAUUCAAUAUGAUUAUCAGUGAGUUUGAGUUGAAUAUAUUUUCUUCCAACUGAAAAUAUUAUUUAUUUAUAAUUAUUAUCUUUAUAAAGCACAAACAGUCAAGCUGUAUAUAACCAAUUUGAAUUGUCAUAAAAUUCAAUGAAAUAUUUUGCUCCUGUAGAUAUUUUGACUGAGGACAGUGGUGAGAUGAAAGACGUCAGUAUCCGAUGUAAAUACACAUGCAUGCUCUGCUGUAAAAUCGUUUUGGUAUGUGAUUUCAUGGUUGGAUCUUGAGUACUUGUCAUGGCUCUUGAUUUAUUUUUGAGUGUUCACCAUCAGAUUAGAAAUCAAAUAGUGAUACCACCAGGCAUACAUGUAGUUGAAAGGAAAUGUCCAUACACAGUCUUGGAGUACAUAGUGGUAGAGACAUGGCAGUCCAUUACAGAUUUUGACUGAAUUAAAGCUUCUUAAAGCUCCAUGUCUUGUGUAAACUGUUUGACUGAAUGUUUGUAUUCUAAUAAAAACUAAGGUUGAAGACACUUCAAAGAUAUAUGUCAGUGUAAAAAUGUUAAACAAAAUAUCUGUCUUUGUUAGAAAUAAAUAACCUGUCUUUAUUAGAAAUAAAUAACCUGUCAUUUGUAA
Long non-coding RNA from Ruditapes philippinarum (Manila clam), 772 nucleotides. RefSeq lists it as uncharacterized. The transcript is spliced from 2 exons. NCBI's taxonomy places the organism in Eukaryota, Metazoa, Mollusca, Bivalvia, Venerida, Veneridae. The record is from RefSeq and is a predicted model, not a curated record.